This 252-nucleotide ribosomal RNA is filed under the name uncultured bacterium. RNAcentral's name for it is "partial 16S ribosomal RNA". It matches the Rfam family "Bacterial small subunit ribosomal RNA", at positions 524 to 776 of the family's 1533-position model. The record is from RNAcentral.
UACGUAGGUCCCGAGCGUUGUCCGGAUUUAUUGGGUUUAAAGGGUGCGUAGGCGGACUGUCAAGUCAGCGGUAAAAUACGGGGGCUCAACCUCCGCCCGCCGUUGAAACUGACGGUCUUGAGUGGGCGAGAAGUAUGCGGAAUGCGUGGUGUAGCGGUGAAAUGCAUAGAUAUCACGCAGAACUCCGAUUGCGAAGGCAGCAUACCGGCGCCCAACUGACGCUGAAGCACGAAAGCGUGGGUAUCGAACAGG